AGUGAACGCUGGCGGUAGGCCUAACACAUGCAAGUCGAACGGCAGCACAGUAAGAGCUUGCUCUUACGGGUGGCGAGUGGCGGACGGGUGAGGAAUACAUCGGAAUCUACUUUUUCGUGGGGGAUAACGUAGGGAAACUUACGCUAAUACCGCAUACGACCUACGGGUGAAAGCAGGGGAUCUUCGGACCUUGCGCGAUUGAAUGAGCCGAUGUCGGAUUAGCUAGUUGGCGGGGUAAAGGCCCACCAAGGCGACGAUCCGUAGCUGGUCUGAGAGGAUGAUCAGCCACACUGGAACUGAGACACGGUCCAGGCUCCUACGGGAGGCAGCAGUGGGGAAUAUUGGACAAUGGGGGCAAGCCUGAUCCAGCCAUACCGCGUGGGUGAAGAAGGCCUUCGGGUUGUAAAGCCCUUUUGUUGGGAAAGAAAAGCAGCAGGUUAAUACCCCGCUGUUCUGACGGUACCCAAAGAAUAAGCACCGGCUAACUUCGUG
This 492-nucleotide ribosomal RNA is filed under the name uncultured bacterium. RNAcentral's name for it is "partial 16S ribosomal RNA". It matches the Rfam family "Bacterial small subunit ribosomal RNA", at positions 29 to 507 of the family's 1533-position model. The record is from RNAcentral.